UGAAGGCUGCUGUCUUAUACCUUGCAUUUGCUUUUGUUUGUUGCAUAGUUUUGCUUUAUCCUUUUUGGUGAUUCUUUAUAAGUGUUAUCCAAAUAAAACUCUUUUCUGCUUCAAAAAAAAAAAAAAAGAGCAGUGUGAUGGGGCGUUCACCCUACACUAGCCCUGAAAGGGUUAAUAGAAUCACAAGAGGCCAAUUAGCCAUACACUGCACCUGGAGGGGAGCUAGGAUGCAAUGAGGCUUAAUUGAGGAGGAAGUUCACCUGGGCAGAAACAAGCAGGGCUUCUGUAAAGCCAGGGAGCUGGUAACAGAGACCCCCAGUCACACUCUCUGAUACAAGGGGGAGAGGGGCAGGAGUAGGAUAAUCAGUGAGAAGAGCUGAAGCAAACUGUUCAGACAAGCCAUAGACUGAAAACUGGUCCUAAAAAUUAUCUGGCCAAUACUUCAAAUAAAAAAAAUACAUUCUUGGAAAUCAGGAUUGGUUUGCAAAUAACUUUCAAAUGCAGGGGGGGACCUUAAAUUUGCAAAACAUAUAAUUUGCCAUGAAUAAUUUGACUAGCUCCCUCUAAUUGCUACAUACCCUCUGCAGCAAUAAUGAUCAGUUUGGGCAUCACUGAAAUUGUACUACUCUGUCAGUAUCUGCAUAGAAGGAGCCUUCCUGGUGUCAUUUUGAAAUUGCCACUUAGCAAUUGAGAGCUAGUUCUGUUUGGUGUGCUGGACAAGACAAGAAGGCAGUGAUGCAUCGGAGGUCGAUAUGAUCAGCUUCUGGUGAAAAAGACAAUUAGCAGCAGGGAAUUUGGACAGAUCAGAAGGGGCGAUGUGAGGUGUGGCAAAGAACAGCGAUUUAGAAGUCACGAGGCAACAGAGAGCAAAGACGUGAUAAACAAGGGUUUUAACAGUGGUGAUGGAGCAAAAAGGACAUUUUUGAACAGAAAAAAUUCAGAAUUGUGGAAAAAGCCAUACAAUGGAAAAUCCAGUUCCUGCCCAUGUCUACUGAUUUCCAACUCCCCUGUUACUUAGUGUAACAGUCUUUAACUGCUAGAAAAAGUUUAGGACUCAAAACAAGACACUGUCUCCAUGAACCAGGGACUUGGCCGCUGGAGAGCUCUUUUAUCCACCGUUUCCCGAAAGGAGACCUUCCUUCCUUUAAUAUGCAUCAGAUCCUCAGAUCUAUCCAUGAUGCACUCAGAAUAAUUCAGAGAGGCAAGGCAAGUGACUUUAAUAUUUUCUAGAGGCAUCUGCCUCUGUUGUGCCUGUCUUUAAAGAAAAUCCAGAUGGAGCUCUAGACAAUUUAAACAUGUUUUUUCCUGUCAAAUUAUACAUGAUUAUAUCCAAGAAAUGUAUGCCACAUUUUUGUGUUUUGAGGGCAAACCAUUUUUUAAAACAUGCAUUUUAAAACACACUUGACUGGAAGGUACACAAGAUAUAUAGAGAUGUAAAUAUAGAUAUAUUUUGUCAGAUCAGAUAAAUAGGGUCAGCUCCCAUUUAGGCAACAAACUAAGUCGCCAGAUUUUCAAAAGAGCUGAGCACAGUGAGUCCUGAGAUCUUUUUGAAAAGCUGGCUACAGCUGACACAGGUGCCUAAGCUCUUUUGCAACAUGGCCCACCUUUCAGUGCCUAAAUGGGAACUGAGCUCUUUUGAAAACCUGGUCCCAGUUAGGGUGCUGAUACUUGGAUAUCUGCUCUGUAGCUCUGGAAAAUUCAGCACUUACUCCAGACCCCUUUUUAUGACCGUAGUAAGAGAGGAGAAGCAGCUUACCAUAGCUGGAUUUGACCUCAGACCAGACUAUCCAGCUGUCUCUAGUUGGCAAAAUGAUGCAUGAGAGGCCAGGACAUUUUUAUUUCUUAUGCAAAUAGAAAUGAAGAAACCCAUCUUUGCACUGAUUCCUAGCCUCAUGCUUUUCCUGAAGAUAGUUUAUGUUGUUACUGAUUAUUAAUAUUGCUGCCUGACCUGCUUUAAUAAUCCAUGCCAUUAAUCAGUGCUGCUCACCUUCAGCUAUGUGCUUGUAUCUCUGUCGGCCAUCCAUGCCCAUAAAUAUCACCGCUGUGUAUCGCCAUACAAACCCCUGUAAAUCAAUGCUGCCAGUCCAUCAGUUCUGAGAGAGGUUUGCUCUGAAAUCCAGCACUCGAUGUGGAUUCCAAAGGGCAAGUUCAGGUUAAAGCAUAAUAAACACACAAAUUUACUAACUGGAAUAGCUGUGAGUUUCACUGUUACAAUAACUACAGCAUUCUUUAAGGAAGAAAACCCAAGACUGGAUCCAAAGCCCAUUGAAGUCAAUGAGAGUUUUUCCAUUGAUUAAACGGUCUUUGGAGUAGGUUCCUAGAAAGCUAUCCAUUGUGGGUGCUGUGAUCUUGAAAAUUUGGUGCCAAGGUUGCUGUUGGGUACUGAGCACUUUUGGAACUCUGGUCUCGGUUUUGGGUGCUGGGUACUUAAAAAUCUGACCCUAUAUACAUAGAAAGGGAGACAGAACUAAUCUAUGCUAUCCUAGUUUUGAACCAGUUCCUGUAUAUUGAAAACUGUGCAUCACUUUAAGUUAAAGGGAUUCCUGGUCCUUCUUGCAGGCUCUGGGGCUCUGGGUCUUCAGUCUGCAAAGAGCCAGCCCAGAGCAGGGUGGAUUGAGAGUGCCUUUUUGCCUAAGCGAGCAGCCUGCUUUGCCUCUCUCUGUUUUUGGUUCUUGUGCGUUAGGGUUCUGGACAAUUAAGUAUGGUUACAUUGCAACCUUCCAGAAAGAUAAUAUUAUGGUUUUAUCCAACUUCUCUGUGUGUAUGCCAUGAACAUAACACCAGUAUUUCUAAUAAAUACUUGAAAGAUAGUGAGGUGUUCAGAGAGUGUGGUAAUAGGGACCAUAUAAUUACUUAAGAUAGAUAGGUACAUUGUACAGGUUUCCUUUCUAAUGCAGUGGGUUUUGUUGUUGUUCUUCAUCUUCUUUUUAAUGGAAACGGGGAGUUAAGUGAUUCA
Long non-coding RNA from Chelonia mydas (Green sea turtle), 2956 nucleotides. RefSeq lists it as uncharacterized. Lineage: Eukaryota; Metazoa; Chordata; Testudines; Cheloniidae. The transcript has 4 exons. The record is from RefSeq and is a predicted model, not a curated record.